RNAcentral lists this non-coding RNA (260 nucleotides) under Clostridium sp. RNAcentral describes it as "T-box sequence". It matches the Rfam family "T-box leader". From Rfam's summary of the family: Uncharged tRNA acts as the effector for transcription antitermination of genes in the T-box leader family. T-boxes are found upstream of many aminoacyl-tRNA synthetase genes and some amino acid biosynthetic genes usually in Gram-positive bacteria. Lineage: Bacteria; Bacillati; Bacillota; Clostridia; Eubacteriales; Clostridiaceae. The record is from RNAcentral.
UUAAAUGCAUUGAAGGGAAGAGUAACAAAUGGGAAUGCUUAAAAGAGAGCUGGAGAGGGUGAAAGCCAGCAGUAUGAAAAUUUGUGAACAUGGCCCCUGAGCAUAUUAUCUGAAUAAAAGUAGGAUAAUACGGCAGCAUCCGUUAUAAUGCACAGUGAUAAAAAUCUAUUUUUAUAAUAAAUAGAUAGAGUCACUUAGCAAGGUAUCUAUGGUAACAUAGAUACGAAUUAGAGUGGUAACGCGUAUAUUACGCCUCUAUG